AAGGAAAGGAAAGGAAAGGAAAGGGAAGGGUUUCAGGAAGAGAAGUGGAGAAGGUGGAAGCACGCCGAAUGCAGCUGCAAGAAUAACAAGUAGUGAAGAGGGAAAGAGGGAAGAUAAAAAAAAUUCCCCUUGGAACAACCAAUACUUUUGCAAAAAAAGUAGAAUUAAUGAAUUAAAUUACACAUUUGCCCAUAACAAAUGUUGUACAUAAAAGAAACAAAAGGAUAUUACUGUAAUUUCAACAUUGCUUGGGAUUAAGGCUUAGUUGUUGUAUGUUUUAUUAAUUAAAUAUAUAAAUUUAAAUGGGUUCGGGUGGUAUUUGGACAAUGAUAAAUUGGAUUUGGGAAUCAGAUUUGGGUUCGAUAGGUUGAUUUUCACUACUAUCCUACGCGUUGGCAUCUCUACUUGCAACAAAGUUACUGCAGAACAGUUCAUUGUAUUCUCUGCAUUUAUUUGAAUGAGUUUUUCACUGUGCCUUUUUUUUUUUUUUUUUUUU
RNAcentral lists this unclassified non-coding RNA (496 nucleotides) under Hevea brasiliensis (rubber tree). The record is from RNAcentral. Lineage: Eukaryota; Viridiplantae; Streptophyta; Magnoliopsida; Malpighiales; Euphorbiaceae.